CAGCACCGAAUCUCGCAGGUUUCAACCCCUGCCGAGAAAUGUGGUGUUUGGGAGGGUCCGCUUAUCCCGGAGGCCUGCGGCGAGUUCAAGUCCUUCUUGAAUGAGGCCACGGCCCGCAGAGGGUGCCAGGCCCGUAGAGACCGCUUUGCGGCUUCCGGGAGGAUCUCUCCUCAGAGUCGGGUUGCUUGAGAGUGCAGCCCUAAGUGGGUGGUAAACUCCAUCUAAGGCUAAAUAUGACCACGAGACCGAUAGCGAACAAGUACCGCGAGGGAAAGUUGAAAAGAACUUUGAAGAGAGAGUUAAAAAGUACGUGAAACCGUUCGGGGGUAAACGUGAGAAACCCGAAAAUUUCCCAACCGGAGAGAUUCAGGCCUUUCCGUAUCUUCCUCGCUUCCCUAUCCAGAUGGGUCCGACCCUCCGCACGGAGCAAUCCGGCGUCGGUGUGGCAACGGUUUUACUCGGUUCGGAGGUGUAGAACGAUCGGAGAGCCGCAUUUCUAGCCCUGUUGGACGUCGCGACCGUUGGGUGUCGGUCUAAGGACCCUGGUGCGUGUGUCUGUUCGUCCACGUCAUUCUUGACGUGCCUGUCGUGCAGACCCCCAGGUGUUUCCCGGCCGAGAAGCCCGACGGGUUGAGCAUUCGAGCGUGUGAGCCUUCGCUGCUACCGUCAAGGUGUGCGUUCAGGGCUCCCCCGUCCUUUGGCUAGGGGGUUACCCUUGGACAGAAGGCUACCGCCAGCGGCGCAAUAGCUUCGGGUAAUUUCACGACCCGUCUUGAAACACGGACCAAGGAGUCUAACAUGUGCGCGAGUCAUUGGGUUGACACUAAACCUAAAGGCGCAAUGAAAGUAAAAGGUAACUUAGGGAAGAUGGAGUCCGUACUAACGCGGCUCCCGCAUUCCCGGGGCGUCUCGUUCUCAUCACGAGUUGAGGCGCACCAAGAGCGUACACGUUGGGACCCGAAAGAUGGUGAACUAUGCCUGGCCAGGACGAAGUCAGGGGAAACCCUGAUGGAGGUCCGUAGCGAUUCUGACGUGCAAAUCGAUCGUCGGAGCUGGGUAUAGGGGCGAAAGACUAAUCGAACCAUCUAGUAGCUGGUUCCCUCCGAAGUUUCCCUCAGGAUAGCUGGCGCUCGAACGAGUCUCAUCCGGUCAAGCGAAUGAUUAGAGGCCUUGGGGCCGAAACGACCUCAACCUAUUCUCAAACUUUAAAUGGGUGAGAACUCCGGCUUGCUUAAAGCAUGAAGCCGAGAGAGGAGAUGAUCAGAGUGCCAAGUGGGCCACUUUUGGUAAGCAGAACUGGCGCUGUGGGAUGAACCAAACGCAGAGUUAAGGCGCCUAAAUGGACGCUCAUAGGAAACCAUGAAAGGCGUUGCUUGCUUAAGACAGCAGGACGGUGGCCAUGGAAGUCGGAAACCGCUAAGGAGUGUGUAACGACUCACCUGCCGAAGCAACUAGCCCUGAAAAUGGAUGGCGCUGAAGCGUCCUGCCUAUACUCUGCCGUCAGCACGGCAAUGAUUGGGACGCAGUGACUGCCUCGUCGGUCCUCGUCCCCGUGAAGCCCUGACGAGUAGGAGGGUCGCGGCGGUGAGCGCAGAAGGGUCUGGGCGUGAGCCUGCCUGGAGCCGCCGUCGGUGCAGAUCUUGGUGGUAGUAGCAAAUACUCCAGCGAGGCCCUGGAGGACUGACGCGGAGAAGGGUUUCGUGUGAACAGCCGUUGCACACGAGUCAGUCGAUCCUAAGCCCUAGGAGAAAUCCGAUGUCGAUGGGAGUCCAAGAAUUGACGGUUAGGACCCCAUCGGGCGAAAGGGAAUCCGGUUCCUAUUCCGGAACCCGGCUGCGGAACCGUAACAUGUCGGGCCCCUCGUAAGAGAAGCUCGUCGGGGUAACCCAAGAGGACCCGGAGACGCCGUCGGGAGAUCGGGGAAGAGUUUUCUUUUCUGUAUGAGCGUUCGAGUUCCCUGGAAUCCUCUAGCAGGGAGAUAGGGUUUGGAGCGCGAAGAGCACCGCAGUUGCGGCGGUGUCCCGAUCUUCCCCUCGGACCUUG
RNAcentral lists this ribosomal RNA (2043 nucleotides) under Typophyllum sp. OR196. RNAcentral's name for it is "eukaryotic LSU rRNA". It matches the Rfam family "Eukaryotic large subunit ribosomal RNA", at positions 110 to 1807 of the family's 3401-position model. Lineage: Eukaryota; Metazoa; Arthropoda; Insecta; Orthoptera; Tettigoniidae. The record is from RNAcentral.